Molecule: ribosomal RNA, 517 nt
Filed under: uncultured bacterium
Lineage: Bacteria
Description: bacterial SSU rRNA
Rfam family: Bacterial small subunit ribosomal RNA
Source: RNAcentral
GAGUUUGAUCCUGGCUCAGGAUGAACGCUGGCGGCGUGCUUAACACAUGCAAGUCGAACGAAGCACUUAUCUUUGAUUCUUCGGAUGAAGAGGUUUGUGACUGAGUGGCGGACGGGUGAGUAACGCGUGGGUAACCUGCCUCAUACAGGGGGAUAACAGUUAGAAAUGACUGCUAAUACCGCAUAAGACCACGGAGCCGCAUGGCUCAGUGGGAAAAACUCCGGUGGUAUGAGAUGGACCCGCGUCUGAUUAGGUAGUUGGUGGGGUAACGGCCUACCAAGCCAACGAUCAGUAGCCGACCUGAGAGGGUGACCGGCCACAUUGGGACUGAGACACGGCCCAAACUCCUACGGGAGGCAGCAGUGGGGAAUAUUGCACAAUGGGGGAAACCCUGAUGCAGCGACGCCGCGUGAGCGAAGAAGUAUUUCGGUAUGUAAAGCUCUAUCAGCAGGGAAGAAAAUGACGGUACCUGACUAAGAAGCACCGGCUAAAUACGUGCCAGCCGCCGCGGUAAUUC